Molecule: transfer RNA, 72 nt
Filed under: Loxodonta africana (African savanna elephant)
Lineage: Eukaryota; Metazoa; Chordata; Mammalia; Proboscidea; Elephantidae
Rfam family: tRNA
About the family: Transfer RNA (tRNA) molecules are approximately 80 nucleotides in length. Their secondary structure includes four short double-helical elements and three loops (D, anti-codon, and T loops).
Source: Rfam by way of RNAcentral
GCCAUGGUGGCACAAUGGUUCAGCUAUUGGCUGCUAACUGAAAGGUUGGUAGUUCGAACCCAUCCAGUGGCU